AUGCAAGUCGAACGAGAAUCACUGGAAGGAGUUUUCGGACAACGGAAGGUGAGGACAGUGGCGGACGGGUGAGUAACGCGUGAGGAACCUGCCUUUCAGAGGGGGACAACAGUUGGAAACGACUGCUAAUACCGCAUGACACAUAGAGAUCGCAUGGUUUUUAUGUCAAAGAUUUAUCGCUGAAAGAUGGCCUCGCGUCUGAUUAGCUAGUUGGUGAGGUAACGGCCCACCAAGGCGACGAUCAGUAGCCGGACUGAGAGGUUGACCGGCCACAUUGGGACUGAGAUACGGCCCAGACUCCUACGGGAGGCAGCAGUGGGGAAUAUUGGGCAAUGGGCGCAAGCCUGACCCAGCAACGCCGCGUGAAGGAAGAAGGCUUUCGGGUUGUAAACUUCUUUUGUCGGGGACGAGUAGAAGACGGUACCUGGCGAAUAAGCCACGGCUAACUACGUGCCAGCAGCCGCGGUAAUACGUAGGUGGCAAGCGUUGUCCGGAUUUACUGGGUGUAAAGGGCGUGUAGCCGGGAAGGCAAGUCAGAUGUGAAAUCCACGGGCUUAACUCGUGAACUGCAUUUGAAACUACUUUUCUUGAGUACUGGAGAGGCAAUCGGAAUUCCUAGUGUAGCGGUGAAAUGCGUAGAUAUUAGGAGGAACACCAGUGGCGAAGGCGGCUUACUGGACG
Molecule: ribosomal RNA, 681 nt
Filed under: uncultured Lachnospiraceae bacterium
Lineage: Bacteria; Bacillati; Bacillota; Clostridia; Lachnospirales; Lachnospiraceae
Description: bacterial SSU rRNA
Rfam family: Bacterial small subunit ribosomal RNA
Source: RNAcentral